UGAGCAGGGCGUUUUGCAAGGAGGAAUGGGAGAGCCGGAGUUCCCUAGGUUCCAGUCCCUGCCUUCCUGGAGAGAGCUGGGCCACUGAGGUUCCAGCUCCCCAAGGGGAGAGAAGAUGCCGUUUCUAACAAAGGAAAGAUAUUUAAGACUUCCAAAAAGGCUGCAAGCCCUGGCUUAAGAAGUGGAAGGUGACAAACAGCUGGUUUUGACUGUCUUUCUCACAGCCCAAAGAUGUCCAUGUGCCAAAGUUAAAAAACCCACUACCUCACAUUGGUGGCGCUCUGCUUCCACUCAGUCCCACCAGAGCUGUUAAUGGAAUUGGAGUACAGGUGAUGAGGAAGAAAAGUCUCACUGUGACAGUUGUCUGCAGGAGACAAAAAUGGAAACUGUCCCAGCAGCCACAGAAGAACAUCAGAAAGGAAAACAAACAAUGGUUCUGCUUUUUAAAGGCUGCUGUAUCUGAAGAGAAAAUUUCCACAGCACCCCAGCUAAAUAAAAUGAUAAC
Rhea pennata is the source of this 505-nucleotide long non-coding RNA. RefSeq lists it as uncharacterized. The record is from RefSeq and is a predicted model, not a curated record. Lineage: Eukaryota; Metazoa; Chordata; Aves; Rheiformes; Rheidae. The transcript is spliced from 3 exons.